This 217-nucleotide unclassified non-coding RNA is filed under the name Ascomycota sp. RNAcentral's name for it is "partial contains small subunit ribosomal RNA, internal transcribed spacer 1, and 5.8S ribosomal RNA". The stretch from base 1 to 47 matches the Rfam family "Eukaryotic small subunit ribosomal RNA", at positions 1785 to 1831 of the family's 1831-position model. Lineage: Eukaryota; Fungi; Ascomycota. The record is from RNAcentral.
AAAGUCGUAACAAGGUUUCCGUAGGUGAACCUGCGGAAGGAUCAUUACCUAGAGUUUGUGGGCUUUGCCCGCUACCUCUUACCCAUGUCUUUUGAGUACUUACGUUUCCUCGGCGGGUUCGCCCGCCGACUGGACAAACCUAUAACCUUUUUAAUUUUCAAUCAGCGUCUGAAAAACUUAAUAAUUACAACUUUCAACAACGGAUCUCUUGGUUCUG